RNAcentral lists this small nuclear RNA (18 nucleotides) under Arabidopsis thaliana (thale cress). RNAcentral describes it as "snRNA_00135". The record is from RNAcentral. Lineage: Eukaryota; Viridiplantae; Streptophyta; Magnoliopsida; Brassicales; Brassicaceae.
AAGAGAUGGAGAUGCAAA